This 253-nucleotide ribosomal RNA is filed under the name uncultured bacterium. RNAcentral's name for it is "partial 16S ribosomal RNA". It matches the Rfam family "Bacterial small subunit ribosomal RNA", at positions 524 to 776 of the family's 1533-position model. The record is from RNAcentral.
UACGUAGGGGGCAAGCGUUGUCCGGAAUCAUUGGGCGUAAAGCGCGUGUAGGCGGCUCGGUAAGUCCGCUCUGAAAGUCCAGGGCUCAACCCUGGGAUGCGGGUGGAUACUGCCGGGCUCGAGUCCGGAAGAGGCGAGUGGAAUUCCCGGUGUAACGGUGAAAUGCGCAGAUAUCGGGAGGAACACCAAUGGCGAAGGCAGCUCGCUGGGACGUGACUGACGCUGAGACGCGAAAGCGUGGGGAGCAAACAGG